UGGUGAUUCACCAGAGAGUUGGGAAUAGUUGACGUUGGCAGACUGGCCAUGGAGAACAAGUAGAUUAUUAUUUUCUACAUGAUGUACGAUGCCAUGAAGAAGAAGCAGAUGGAACGUCGUUGACAGCUUGUUCUGAAGAAUGCUCCAACAGCACCUGCAAGGUUGUUCUCAGAACCGGUUGUUCUCAGAAGUCCACCAAGCCAACCUUGUAAAUAUACAGGCCACCCCCGACCACUCUGUCCAUCGCUUUGUUCUUGCUUUUGAGCUGGCCCACAUUGCCCUUGUAUGCCGUGCUCCACCAGCCGUCGUGCCGAGAUGCUGCCACAGCGAUCCCGUCCUUGUCGCCAGUUGUUCUAUCGCGGCCGAGACAUGCGCCCGAGCCAGCGUACGGUUCGGGCACCGCCCAGACGGACGCAUCCGACAAGGCAUUUGUGUUGAAUGCCGCAGAGACAGAGGAGUCC
This is a long non-coding RNA of Dermacentor silvarum, 461 nucleotides long. RefSeq lists it as uncharacterized. The transcript has 3 exons. NCBI's taxonomy places the organism in Eukaryota, Metazoa, Arthropoda, Arachnida, Ixodida, Ixodidae. The record is from RefSeq and is a predicted model, not a curated record.